This 211-nucleotide ribosomal RNA is filed under the name Plasmodium falciparum (malaria parasite P. falciparum). Its description in RNAcentral is "partial 18S ribosomal RNA". Lineage: Eukaryota; Apicomplexa; Aconoidasida; Haemosporida; Plasmodiidae. The record is from RNAcentral.
ACUUUAAACUGGUUUGGGAAAACCAAAUAUAUUAUAUAUUUUGCUUUGUUCAAAAUAAGGUUUUCUAAUAAAUUAUGUUUUUAUCAGAUAUGACAGAAUCUUUUUUAAAAUCUCUUCAAUAUGCUUUUAUUGCUUUUGAGAGGUUUUGUUACUUUGAGUAAAAUUAAGUGUUCAUAACAGACGGGUAGUCAUGAUUGAGUUCAUUGUGUAA